CGAGCGAGGGGCUCGAAGGGAGCCCGGGAGACGCCUGCUCUGCGGUCCUGAGCUUUGUGGGCCGCGGCCGUCUGAGGUCGUCGUGCCGCCGCCGAGUUAACGGUCGUCGGAAUCCAGAGCCUUCGUCCUGAGGAAGAAACUUAUGUCUUCAAUACAUUCUUAAUGUGUGACCUUUGAAGGUUGAGAAGGCAAAAUUAGUAGGUACACAAUUACACUUUGUUUCUUCUUCCCCUUGCACUUUUUUUUAAAUAACUGCCACACUGAGUGAAUCAGGGAUGUCACUCAGCAUGAACAUGUUGUUUGAACGUGAAACCCAGUAUGAAACCCAACAACUUGGGUUUUUUUUUUUUUUUAAGAUUUAUUUAUUUAUUUGAAAGGCAGAGUUACAAUAAGGUAGAGGCACAGAGAGAGGGAGAGAGAGGUCUUCCAUCCGCUGGUUCACUACCCAGAUGGCCACAAAGGCCAGAGCUGCCCUCAUCCAAAGCCAGGAGCCAGGAUCUUCUGGAUCUCCCACACAGGUGCAGGGGUGUCGCUCCCCCACUUGCGGAGGAACGACACCAGACCCUGCGCUGUUCUCUUUGCCCGGCCCUCCCCCCACGAAGGGGCGGCACCCCCGCGGCUUCCAUGGAGGAGUGGCACACUGCCUGCUGGCUCUCUCAGGGGUUCCUCAGAUGUUCCUCCUGCAUGUUGUCUCUCUCCUCCUUUAUAGUCCUCUUCCACCAAUCCCAACUCUACUGGCAUUCUCUCCCCACCUGCUGAGCACGCUGCUCUCCUCCAAUCAGGGGCAGGACAGCUCCUGCAGCUUGUUAGUCGAAUUGGUGAGGCAGCUGUGUGGAAGUUGUUUACUCCCUCUCAGCGCCAUAUGGUGAUCAGAUGCAUAGAGUUAGUCUUAGCAGUUCCAGUAGUUUAGUCUCGGUAAUUUCAGUAUUUGUCCUCAGUAUUUAUUUAUCUCCCGGGCAAUGGGCCCUGCUCCCCACACAGGGGACCAAGGACUUGGGCCAUCUUCUGCCUUCCCAGGCAUGGCAGAGAGCUGGGUCAGAAGUGGAGCAGCCGGGACUCAAAGCAGCACCCAUAUGGGAAGCCAGCACUGUAGGCCGAAGCUUUACCCGCUGUGCCACAGCCACACACCCCCACACACACUUCUUUCUACAAGAGAAAGUAUAAGUGACUGACAUAAUUGUAGCCACUACUGAGAAAUUUUGUAUUUUUACCAUUGUUAAAACCAUAAUUCACAGUGGUAGAAUUUGUUUCACAAUAGAGAUAUAUGGGAGUUCUUUUGGGAAGUUUUGAGUUCACUGGAACCAUUUGACUCUGCAAGUAUAGAUAGUCAUGUAUUUCUUAUAGGUCUGAACCUGGUCAUUUCUUAUCUAUCUGUUGCCUCAAUUUUCUUACCUAUAAAAAUGAAUAGCAGCACUCAGUGCCCACCCACUUCUAGGCCUAAAUUGAGAAUAAAUAUGUUUGGCAUAAUGGAAUAAUUUCUGUAAAGGGAUGCUAUCUUGAGUUGAGUAGCUUGGUGCAACAGAAGGAGCUCCAGGAAGUCAGGCCCAAUCCUUCAUUUUAUAGGCUGAAUGCUUCUCAGUUCUUGUUUCCCAUUCUGUGAAAUUCCUUUCUUAGAUCAUUAACAUGAAACAUUGCUGGAUCUAUUCUGAAAGAUUUUGUAAUAUCUUAAUGAGUCUUUAGUGCCUUCAGGCAAUAGCUUUCUUUUAACAGAGUAAAUUCUUAAUAUAAUAUAACAUUUAUCAAUUGGCUAGUCUCUUAAAUAGUUGAGUUUUCCUCUAUCACACAGAAAGCCUCUUACCAUAUUGAAAAAGUGGAAAAAUUAGAAGAACAUUACUUAACAAGGUGAAGUAGUUUUAAAAAUUUAAGGCCAGAGAAGCAAGCCAGAAAACCAGAAAUACGAAUGCAAGAAAUAAUUUAUAGGUAGAUAGUACAAUUGAAGUGAAAAGGGAUUUGGGAUAAUCUCUUCUUCAACUAUGAAUCUGUACUCUAUCACAUGUACAAUAAUAGUUUAUUGUUGACUUGUCAGCUACUCAGCAGUCUUUCUAUGUGGACUCAUUUAAUGACAAAUCACUUGGUGUAAGGACCACACAUUCUCCUGUAUUUCACCAUGUUUUCAUGAAUAUAGUGCAUUAUUCUGGCAUUUUGAAAUGAGUUUGACAAUUAAUAGCUUUAUAUAGGUUACCACCCAAUGUAAAUAAUUACACUUUUCUGUCCCCACUUUCUUUUUAAAAAGUUUAUUUGAAAGACAAAGAGGCAGAGAUCUUGCAACCACUGGUUCACUCCCCAAAUACUUGCAACAGCUGGGGCUGGGCCAGGUGGAAGCCAGGAGCCAAGAACUUAAUCCAGGUCCACCGUGUGGGUGGCAUAGAACCUAACUACUUGAGUAAUCACCUUUUGGCCCCCAGGGUGUGCAUUAGCAGGAAGCUGGAAUCAGAGCAGAACUGGGAUUUGAACCCAGGCAUUAAAGUUGACGUGUGGGCAUCCCAAAUGGUGUCCUUUUACACCGAACACUUGCCCUUUUGCCCACUUUAUGACUGCUCUUUGCCUUCUCUGGCACAAUUACCUAAAUUAUUAUUGACUUUCCUUUCCCUGCCCUAAUAUCCUUUUUAAUUUUUCCUGUGAUGUAAUCAUACCUAAGAUUUACUUGACACAUACUCUUACCCUGUAUCAUCUCAUUUCUAUAUCAGCAGUCCAAAUGAGGCAACCACUGUUAAUCUCCAUAUGGGGAAACUGAGGCACAGAGAAGUUACAUAACUUAUGUCAGGUCCCACAAUUAGUGAAUAGCAGACCCUGGAGUCAAACACAGUUUUGUCUGAAUCUAAAUCACAAGUUCUUUUUCUUUUUUAUAAUUUAUCUGUUGGAAAAAUUACAGAGAGAGAGAGCUUCCACCAGCAAGUUCAUUCUCCAGAUGGCUGCAAUGGCCAGAGCAGAACCAGGAUCUUCAUCUGGGUCUCACACAUGAGUGGCAGGAACCUAAACACUUGUGCCAUCUUCUGCUGCUUUUCCCAGGCCAUUAGCAGGGAUCAGAAGUGGAGCAGCCUGGACAUGAAGUGAUGUCCAUAUGGGAUGCCAGCUUUUCACUGUUCCAUAACACAAACCCCAAUCACAAGUUCUUAACCACUGUGUUCUGAGAAAAACAGUGAAAUCUAGUAGGUGGCCUAGUGUUAGCAACCAUGUCUAGGUGUGGCUAGGAGCUGGCUUGGCACAGCUAGGCCUUGGUAUUCCAAAAGCAAUUUGAGAGAACAUCAUCAGUAUCAGAUAAGGCCACUCCGUGAUCUUGAUUGAUAGAAAUGAACAUAAGAAUAUAAUUAUGGUAGGAAAUAGACAAAAAUGUUAAUGUUCUCCAAGCUGCCAAAUGGAAAAUACACAAAGAAAAAACAAACUUACAUAAGCAGCUAUUGCUUCUUUAUCAAUUUCAACUUAAGCCUCAUUCUAAUCUUUUCUCUUGAGAUAAGAUUAAAACAACCAAUUAUAGAAUUACCUCUGCUUCCUUUCACUAUCUGGUUUAGAGCAUAAAGCAAAGUUCCACUUCCUUAAACCUUCUACAAAAUCACAUAACAAACUUAAGUCUUAAGUCCCUUUAACACUCUCUUUCUGAGAUGCACAUGUUUUAGAGUGUGUAUUCUCCUUUACUGCAAUGAAUGAUAAGCUCAACCCUCCCAACCACAGCUGUGUUACUGAUGAUGUUAGGCUGAAGAGCAUUUGUAAUAUUUUCUGGACUGUUAUAUACUAUUAUAUACCAUGUAUUGUGGAAAACAUACUUGCCAGUCAAAAAGUUGGACAUCAUUUUGUAAAAACAACAACAAAAAACUUCAGUCCAUCAAUUCAUAGGCAGAAUAACUCAAAAGUGGAUCAUAAAUCUAAAUGUAAAAUUAUAAAACUUAUGGAAGAAAACAAGGGAAAAUCUUUGUGCUCUUGGAUUAGAGGAAAAUAUUUCUUAGAUUCAACACUGGUACCAGUGUUGUGACAUCAUGGGUAAAGCCGUGGUUCCAGCUGCUCCACUUCCAAGCCAGCACCCUGCUAAUGGCCAGGAAGAAGCAGUAGAAUAUGGCACAGUGUUUGGGCCCCUGCCAACCACAUAGAAGACUCAGAUGAGGCUACUGGCUCCUGGCUUCAGCAUGGACCAGCCCUGGCCAUUACAGGCACCUAGGGAGUGAAACAACAGAAGAUUCAUUAUCUCUCUCUCUCUCUCUCUCUCUCUCUCUCUUUCUCUCUCUCUUUCUCUCUCUUUCAAGUAAACAACUUUUUUUUCUUAAAGAUUUUUAUUUAUUUGAAAGAGUUACAUAGAGAGGAGAGGCAGAGAGAGAAAGAGAGAGAAAGAGAGGUCUUCUAUCCGCUGGUUCACUCCUCAGUUGGCCACAAUGUCCAGAGUUAAGCCAAUCCGAAGCCAGCAGCCAGGAGUUUCUUUGGGGUCUGCUAUGCAGGGGCAGGAGCCUAAGGACUUGGGCCAUCUUCUGCUUUCCCAGGCCAUAGUAGAGAGCUGGAUCAGAAGUGGAGCAGCCGGGACUCGAACUGGCACUCACAUGGGAUGCUGGCACUGCAGGCGGCAGCUUCACCCACUGUGCCACAGCGCUGUUCCCCAAGUAAGCAAGUUUUUUCAAAAUAAAUAAACAAAUAAAUAAAGGAGAUACACCACAAAAACUCAAUCACUAAAAGAAGGAAAUUUUACAUUUACAAAAGCAUCUACUUUUUGGAUUAUGCUGCCGAGAAAAUGAAAGGCAAGCAAGAUACCAGGAGAAAAUAUUUGCAAAACAUAAAAUCUGGGAUGUGUUGCAUCUAGAUUGUAUUAAGAACUCUUACAACUCAUUAAGAACACCCACUUUUAAAAUGUGGGCACAACUGAAUGAUCACUUCAACAAAGAAGAUACAUGAAUUUCAGACACAUAAAAUUUCAGCACAUAAAACAUUGCAGAACAUCAUAAUCAUUGGGGAAUGGAAAUUAAAACCACAGUGAAGACCACUACUUGGUUAAAACAAAAAUAUUUCCAAAUGCUGCUAAGCAGCUAAAACCCACAGACAUUGUUGGUGGGAAUGCCAAAUGAUACAAACACUUGGGAAAAUGGUUUGGCAGUUUCUUACAAAAUUAUAUAUACACUCACUACAUAAUCCAGGAAUCCCACUACUAAAUAUUUACCUGAGGCAAAUGAAAACUUGUUCACACAAAGACCUGGACACAUGUUUUAUAAUUGCCAAGGACCCUUUAAUUGAUGAGUGGAUAAGCAAAUGGUGAUCUGUAUAUACAAUGGAAUCUACUUAGCAACAAAAGGAACAGUCAACUCUUACACACAAGUAAGUCUCAAAUGCAUUAUUGCAAAUGAAAGAUGCAAAAUUGGAAAGCCUACAUACGUAAGAUUUCAUUUAUAUGACAUUUGGGAAAAGGCAAAACCACAGGGAAAGAAAAUGCCCUUGGCCUGCGCCACGGCUCAAUAGGCUAAUCCUCCACCUUGCUGCGCUGGCACACCGGAUUCUAGUCCCGGUCGGGGCUCCGGAUUCUGUCCCGGUUGCCCCUCUUCCAGGCCAGCUCUCUGCUGUGGCCCAGGAGUGCACUGGAGGAUGGCCCAAGUGCUUGGGCCCUGCACCCCAUGGGAGACCAGGAGAAGCACCUGGCUCCUGCCAUCGGAUCAGCGCGGUGCGCUGGCCGCAGCGCUGCAGCCACGGCGGCCAUUGGAGGGUGAACCAACGGCAAAGGAAGACCUUUCUCUCUGUUUCUCUCUCACACUGUCCACUCUACCUGUCAAAAAAACAAACAAAAAAAAAAGAGAGAGAGAGAAAAUGCCCUGAUUGCCUGGUAAGUGGAAAGAAUUGACUAUAAAGAAGCUUAAGGGAUUUGAGGGUAGGUGAUAGAACUAUUCUGUUUUAAUUAUGAUAUAGGUUACUGUGGGGAGCAACUCGGACUAGACUGUUACUGGAAUUAAGACUUAUUCUAUGCAUCUGCUCUCCCACAAUAUGGCGCUGAGAAGGGAGUAACAACUUCUACGCAGUUGCCUCUUGCCAACUUGAGUGAUGACCUGCAGGAGCUGAUCCUGCUCGUGAUUGGAGGAGAGCAGCGUACUCGGCGUGUGGGUAGCAGAGUUGGGAUUGGUGGAAGAGGACUAUAAAGGAGGAGAUAGACAACAUGCACCAGGAACAUCUAUCUGAAGGAACACCUGUGCAGCCCCCGAGAGAGCCAGCCGGCAGUGUGCCGCUCCCCCGCAGAAGUGGGGAAAGUGGCGGGGGAACCGCCCUUCCACAGAGGUGGAAGGGUUGGUAGCCAACCCGGGAAGAACCAGCAGCAAACCCGGGGAGGGCCGAGCAGACAAAAGAACAGCGCAGGGUCCUGUGUCGUUCCUCCGCGAAGACAGGGAGCGACAGGUUACACAAUAUAUGCAUCUGUCAAAAUUCAUGGAACUGUACACCAAAGAGAAUAGUUUUGGUGUAUGUAUUUACUUGUUUGUAAAUUACACCUCAGUAUUGAUAUGGGUGGGAGGAUGUUGAGAUGAAGUAGGGCCCCCUCACACCAUGUAUGUGAAGACUUGUCUAAAGGUGAGCAGCCAGUUAGACUCCUAAUGGGUAGCACUUCACAUGUGAUUUUGCUCUUAGGUUUUUGCCUAGUUGCUUACCUGGCUAUUGCUGCUGGCUAAUUCAUGCUCUCAGAUUCUCUUACCUCUGAGUAACUGGUAGAGUAACUUGAGUGCUCCAGUUUGAGUCUGGUUUCCACCUCUAAUUUCACCCAUUGGAGUUGUGAGAAAUUAAAUAUGCAGUAGUCUGAUUCUGCUACAGGUUCUGCUUUUCCUCUGGGCUGUUUGGCUUUGUCUGGAUUCUUUUUCAGUAGUCUCCUGCAUUACUUGGAAUUAUAGCCUUUGUUUCUUGUAACCAGGAGAAUCUAAUGACAAUGUGAGAUACUUCUUUUACACCACUCAUGUGUCCAGUACCAGUAGAUAAAGUAUAUAAGUCUUAACCUUAAAGAGUUUACACUUGGGAAAGACAAGAUGUUCACAUUAAGCAUUUACAAAUCAUUAAAGAUCAAUACAAAUAAAUACCAAAAUGAGAAGUCAAAAAAUGAGGACUGAGUGAAAGGAAAGAUAGAUAUGCAUAUGUGGACUGAAAUAAGCUUCCUGACAGGAAGAGGAAGAAAUGAUAUUUUUACAAGUAUUGAGUGCAUAUUUUCAUCAGGACUUGAGCUAGAUGCUUAUAAAUUGUCAGAGAGGAAAAAUUACUAUCUUCCAUUCACAUCCAGUAUAGAUGUUAGGACCAAGGAGGGGAAAUAAUAGUAAAAUCUGUUGCAUCUUGGAGCAAAACACCCAAAGUGGUGGGUCAUUCAGCAUAGGCAUAUUAUCACUGGAAUAGUUAAACGGAGGUUAGUGAAGCUGGACAAGGUAGAGCUUUAUGAACACCCCAGAGCUGAACCAUAGGAUUUUCAUUGUCAUCUGAAACAGCCAAGUUGAAGUGGAAGAACAUGGAUGUUUACCAUGAGAAGAAAGAUUUAACUGAGUUGUUUUCUACAUGACCCCACAACACAAUUGGAAUUGUUUGGGAUUUGUGGGAACUACAAGUAAUAGACUCUCUCAGUUUGGUUUGUGUUUGGGAACAGUUGCCCACCCUGUAUAUAAUACUGUAUGAACUGUGAGGAGAUGGUUCCUCUUUUGCAAGUGAAGAAAAUCUGAGGAUAGUUAGUAUCUUAAAUUGGGUCUUCUAUUACUGGGCCAGUGCUUUGGCAUAGUAGGCUAAGCCUCCACCUGUGGUGCUAGCAUCCCAUGUGGGUGCCACUUCAUUUCCCGGCUGCUCCUCUUCUGAUCCAGCUCUUCUAAUGGCCUGGGAAAGCAGUGGAAGAUGGCCCAAGUACUUGAGCCUUGGCACCUGCUUGGGAGACCCUGAAGAAACUCCCAGCUCCUGGCUUCAGAAGGCCUGGCUCUGGCUGUUGUGGCCAUUUGAAGAGUGAACCAGUGGAUGGAAUACCUCUCUCUCUGUCUCUCCCUCUCUAUCUGUAACUCUACCUCUCAAAUAAAUAAGCUUAAAAUUAAAAAAUAACAGUUUUUUUAAAAAAUAUUUAUUUAUUUGAAAGACAGUUGCAGAGAGAGGUAGAGAGAAAGAGAGGUCUUCCAUCUGCUGGCCCACUCCCCAGAUGACCGCAGUGGCCAGAACUGCGCAGAUCAGGAGCCAGGAGCUUCUUCUGGGUCUCUCACAUGGGCGCAGGGGCCCAAGGACUUGGGCCAUCUUGUACUGCUUUCCCAGGCCAUAGCACAGAGCUAGAUCGGAAGAGGAGCAGCCGGAACUAGAACCAGCACCCAGGUUAGUAGGAUUUCUCCUAACUUGAAACACUGAUCUCAAACAAUUUGCAAUGGCAAAUGAGUUCUAUAAGGGAAUCUUUUAAAAUACAUCCUUUAUAUUCUCAUUAAAUAUAAGGGAAGUAGGAACCAAUCCUUUAUCAGAAUGAAAAGCAGCCAACAUUAAUCUCUCCCUACACCUAAAACUGUUGAAACUAAAAUUUCUAUCAGUGACUGCUUGACCCACUUUCCUUCCUUGCUUUCAGGACACACCUUUACAUGGGUCUAAUCAUUUAUUUGCUGGGAGAAUAAUUAGCUUUUCAGAGCCUCUGUGCUAGUUAACAGUCCAAAAAUACAUUAGUCCCACUGCCCGUUGCUUCUUAGAACAGAUUAUAGGAAUGACAAAGUUUGAACAAGAAUGUAUCUAUCAGUGCCUGUGUGCUAAUGAAAGCUGUUACUUCCAAUUUCCUUGGCUCAUUGGUUUCUGGUAGGUUGCUUUAACCAUGUGCUGUCUUCUCUCAAGAUUUCUGGAGCCUUGAGCAGAUUAAAACCGAGUUUCAAGGUUAAGUGACUAGGCAACAUAAUAUGGCAAUUCAAAGUCCAGGUGCUGUAACAAGACUUGCAUUUUUUAAAAAAGAUUUAUUUUAUUUGAAAGGCAGAGUUACAGAGAGGCAGGGGCUGAAAGAGAGAGAGGUCCUCCAUCUGCUGGUUCACUCCCCAAAUGGCCACAAUGUCCAGAGCUGGGCCAGUCUGAAGCCAGGAACCAGGAGCUUCUUCCAGGUCUCCCAUGCAGGUACAGGGACCCAAGGACUUGGGCCAUCUACUGCCUUCGCAGGCCACAGCAGAAAGCUGGAUUGGAAGUGGAACAGCUGGGACCCAAAGCAGGGCCCAUAUGGCAUGCCAGCACUGUAUGUAGAUGGUGGCUUUACCCGCUACACAGUGCUGACCCCAAGACUUGGGUUUUAAUCAUGACUGCUACUUUAGUCAAGUUCCUUAAUUUGUUUGGGUUUCUUUUCCAUCUCUCUGAAAUGUGGACUAGUAGUCCAUGUCUUAUAAGAUUGUGGUGAUGAUUGAGUAACAAUAUAUUACUCUGCUCAUUCACAAAGUAAGUACUCAGUACAUAGUAGCUGUCUGUACAGUGAUAGACCAUUGAAAGUACAGGGCUCAAACAUUAGAUAUCUUAAUUAAAAGUGAUUCCUGGCCAGUGCUACGGCUCACUAGGCUAAUCCUCCGCCUGUGGCGCCGGCACCCUGGGUUCUUGUCCUAGUUGGGGCACUGGAUUCUGUACUGGUUGCUCCUCUUCCAUUCCAGCUCUCUGUUGUGGCCUGGGAAAGCAGUGGGGGAUGGUCCAAGUGCUUGGGCCCUGCACCUGCAUGGGAGACUAGGAGGAAGCACCUGGCUCCUGGCUUCAGAUUGGCGCAGCGCCGGCUGUAGCGGCCAUUUGGGGGGUGAACCAAUGGAAGGAAGACCUUUCUCUCUGUCUCUCUCUCUCUCACUGUCUUAACUCUGCCUGUCCAAAAAAAAAAAAAAAAAAGUGAUUCCUUAGUGUGGGGAGCAACUGAGACUAGACUAAGUUACUGGAAUUAAGACUUAUUCUAUGCAUCUGCUCUCCCACAAUAUGGCGCUGAGAGAGACCAAACAACCUCUACGCAGCUGCCUCAUCAGUUUGACUGAUAAGCUGCAGGAGCUGAUCCUGCUCCUGAUUGGAGGAGAGCAGCGUGCUCAGCGUGUGGGCAGCAGAGCAUGGAUUGGUGGAAGAGGACUAUAAAGGAGGAGAGAGACAACAUGCACCAGGAACACCUGAGGAACAUCUGAGCAGCCCCCGAGAGAGCCGGCCGGCGGUGUGCCGCUCCUCCGUGGAAGCGGGGAAAGCGACGAGGGGGUGUCUCCCCCUCCACGGAGGUGGAGGGACCAGCAGCUAACCAGGGACGGCGUCGUUCCUCCGCAAGUGAGGGAACGGCAGCUAACCCGGGAAGAGCCAGGUAAAAAGAACAGCGCAGGGUCUAGUGUUGUUCCUCCACGAAUGGGGGAGCGACACCUUAGAUUAAGUAGCUUCUAUUACUCAUUCAGUUAUAGAAUUUUUGCUUUAAAUAUUAUAUAUGUACUUAUUACUCCUAAACGUAUAUCUGUAAUCCAAAUUCCUGCCAUGAAUUCCAGACUUGUAGGUACAAUCAGUUGUCUUUUGUACUUUUGCACUAACUAACAUAACAGGCAUUUCAAACCUGAAGUUGAAAACUGAAUUCCUGAUCUUGACCCUCAAAUGUACUCCUCUAGCAGUCUUUCCCAACUCAGUUGAUGACAACUAUAUCCUUAUCAUUGCUCAGUUAAGAAACUUUGGAGUUAUUCUUGAGCUCCCUCUUUUUCCUCACAUCUGACAUUGAAUGUUUGAAGACCUCAAAUUUCUUCAUCUACAUACAUUUUUUUUUUUUUUUGGACAGGCAGAGUGGACAGUGAGAGAGAGAGAGAGACAGAGAGAAAGGUCUUCCUUUGCCGUUGGUUCACCCUCCAAUGGCCGCCGCGGCCGGCGCGCUGUGGCCGGCGCACCGCGCUGAUCCGAUGGCAGGAGCCAGCAGCCAGGUGCUUUUCCUGGUCUCCCAUGGGGUGCAGGGCCCAAACACCUGGGCCAUCCUCCACUGCACUCCCUGGCCACAGCAGAGGGCUGGCCUGGAAGAGGGGCAACCGGGACAGAAUCUGGCGCCCCGACCGGGACUAGAACCCGGUGUACCGGCGCCGCUAGGCGGAGGAUUAGCCUAGUAAGCCGCGGCGCCGGCCCAUCUACAUACAUUUUAUAAAUCCGUUCUUCUCUCACUUGCUACAGCUGUUAGCCAGGCAUCCAUUAUUUCUCACCUGGAUUAUUGCAAUAGCCUCCUAACCAGUCUUAUUUUAGCUCUUGCCACUUACAGUCAGUUCUCAACAAAGCAUUCAGAGUGAUUGUUUGAAAGUUUAUGUCAGAUUAUGUCAACUCCUCUGCUCAAAAUCUUGCAGCGGCAUCCCAUAAGAUGAGUAAAAGCCGAAAUCCUCUCAGUUCUAUGAAGGCCCUAUGGGAAUUGUAUUCCUUCCCCUUUCUGUGUACCUUGGGUGUAUCUUCUGUCCCCUCAUCUUAAUCACUCUGCUCUAGCCAGGUUGGUCCAGUACUAUUCUUCAAACUUGGCAAGCAUUCUACUUACUCUUUCUUGCUGUUCCCUCUCCUAGAAGGCCUGGAAUUUCUGACUUGCUACCUCACUUGUUUCAGGUCUGCUCAGAUGUGGCUUUAUUAGGGAUGUCUUUUGUGAACAGCCUUCUUUAUACUGAAAAACUUAAAGAUUACCCUCUUCUGUGUUCUUUAAGAAUUCAUAGCUAAGGUACUAUAAGAAAACAAUGAAAAGAUAUUAUAAAAAAAAAAAAAACAUGAAAAAGUUCAUAAAAUUUCCUGAAGGAUAAAGAAACUCAACAGGAAAAGGUUGACUCAGCAAGAGAAUGACAACCCAGGAUCCCAACACUAACUUUUAGAAAUAUAAUGCUUCCAUUGAAUCUGAGAAGGGAAAAUAUACAGCAGAAGUAAAAGAACCCAGGGAAGAAAUAGCCAGAUAAUAGGAGGGACAGAUAGAUGAUGGGAGAGGUGAACCAGUAAGCAUUAGAUAGAACAAAAUAGUAAGUAAAACCAUUUUAAAACAUAAAGACUAUCCCUUUAAUUUCUUUUUCUUGCCUAAUAACUCUGGCUAAAACUUCGAGAACUAUAUUGAAUAGCAGUGGUGAGAGAAGGCAUCCUUGUCUGGUACCAGAUCUCAGUGGAAAUGCUUCCAACUUUUCCCCAUUCAAUAGGAUGUUGGCUGUGGGUUUUUCAUAAACUGCUUUGAUUGUAUUGAGGAAUGUUCCUUCCAUACCCAGUUUGCUUAGAGUUUUCAUCAUGAAAGGGUGUUGUAUUUUAUCAAAUGCUUUCUCUGUGUCUAUUGAGAUAAUCAUAUGGUUUUUCUUCUGCAGUCUGUUAAUGUGGUGUAUCACGUUGAUUGUUUUGCGAACAUUGAACCAUCCCUGCAUACUAGGGAUAAAUCCCACUUGGUCUGGGUGGAUGAUCUUUCUGAUGUGUUGUUGCAUUCUAUUGGCCAGAAUUUUAUUGAGGAUUUUUGCAUCUAUGUUCAUCAGGGAUAUUGGUCUGUAAUUCUCUUUCAAUGCUGCAUCUUUUUCCGGCUUAGGAAUUAAGGUGAUGCUGGCUUCAUAAAAAGAAUUUGGGAAGAUUCCCUCUUUUUCAAUUGUUCUGAAUAGUUUGAGAAGAAUUGGAGUCAGUUCUUCUUUAAAUGUCUGGUAGAAUUCAGCAGUGAAUCCAUCUGGUCCUGGGCUUUUCUUUGUUGGGAGGGCCUUUAUUACUGUUUCAAUUUCUGUCUCAGUUAUGGGUCUGUUUAGGUUUUCGAUGUCUUCCUGGUUCAAUUUAGGUAGGUUGCAUGUCUCCAGGAAUGUAUCCAUUUCUGAUAGGUUUCCCUGUUUGCUGGCAUACAAGUCCUUGUAGUAACUUCUGAUGAUUCUUUUUAUUUCUGUAAUGUCUGUUGUUACAUUUCUUUUUUCAUCUCUGAUUUUAUUGAUUUGGGUCUUUUCUCUCCUUUUUUUGGUUAGUUGGGCCAAUGGGGUGUCAAUUUUGUUUAUUUUUUCAAAAAACAGCUCCUCGUUUGGCUGAUUUUUUGUAAUGUGUUUUUUGGAUUCAAUCCUGUUGAUUUCUUCUCUGAUUUUAAUUAUUUCUCUUCUCAUACUAGAUUUGGGUCUGGUUUGCUGCAGAUUUUCUAGAUUCUUGAGAUGAUCUUGUGUUAGACAAUAAAUUCUUAGCUACAACACCAAAAUUCAAUCCAGGGCCGGCACCACGACUCACUAGGCUAAUCCUCCACUUGCGGUGCUGGUACUCCAGGUUCUAGUCCCGGUUGCUCCUCUUCCAGUCCAGCUCUCUGCUGUGGCCCGUGAGUGCAGUGGAGGAUGGUCCAAGUGCUUGGGCCCUGCACCUGCAUGGGAGACCAGGAGGAAGCACCUGGCUCCUGGCUUCAGAUCGGCACAGCACCGGCCGUAGUGGCCAUUUGGGGGGGUGAAUCAACGGAAGGAAGACCUUUCUCUCUGUCUCUCUCUCUCUCACUGUCUAACUCUGUCUGUCAAAAAAAAAAAAAUCAAUCCAGAAGAGAAAAAAAAAUAUAUAUAUAUAUGUAUAAACUGGACUUAAUCAAAAUUUAAAACUUGUAUUUCAUAAGACACUGUUAAAAAAUGAAGACAAAACUACAGAUAAAAUAUUUGUAAAUCAUAUUUCUGAUAAAGGAAUUGUAUCUAAGAUGCAUUAAGAAUCCACCCAGUAGUAGACAAUCCAGCUUAAGAGUGAGCAAAAUAUUUUAAUAAAGCAUUUUUAAAGUAUGUAUCAAUGACUAAUAAGCAUAUGGGAAAAUACAAUCAUUAGUCCUUAGGGAAAAAUAAAACCACAAUUUUACACCCACUAGAGUGCCUAUAAUUAAAAAGGCAACAGUAUUGGCAAAAAUGUGGAGAAACUGAAACCCUGAGCUAUUGCUGGUAAGAGUAUAAACAACCACUUUGUGGGUGGGUAUUGUGGUAGAGUGGGCUAAGCAAUUGCUUGGGACACCAACAUCCCGUAUGAAAGUGCUAUUUGGAGUCCUGGCUAAUCUGCUUCCUAUCCAGCUUUCUGCUAAUGCAUCAUGAGAGGCAGCCCCUGCCACCCAUGUGGGAUUUUCAGCUUUAGCCUGGCCCAGCUAUGGCUGUUAGGGCUGUUUGCAGAGUGAACCAAUGAAUGGAACAUCUCUCUUAUUCUUUCUUGCUUGCUCUUUCAAAUAGAUGAAAAUAAACAUUAAAAAAAAAAAAAACUUUGGGAUACAGUGUGGCUGUUUUUAAAAGAUACGAACAUACAGGUGACACAGCAACUCCAAUACUAAAUAUCCACCCAAGAGAAAUUGUAUCUACACAAACACUAUUAAGCAGAUAGUCAUAGCUGUAUUAUUCUUAAUAGCCCAAAAGUAGAAACAACCAGAAUGUCUACCAACUGAUGAAUGGAUACAAUACAGGAUAGGCAAUUCUCAUGUGCAGGUUCCAGGUUUGCCUACUUGCUAACAUUUAUUUGUGACUCCAAACCAAUAAUGCUUCUUCCCGGUCAUUUGUAGACAUGCACAUGUAUAAAGUGACAAAAAAUUUUAGUCACCCAACACGUGUUCCCACCUGAGGUUGCAGCAAUGUUCUAUCUUGUUUCAGCUCUUAUACUGUAAACAACUGUCAUUUUUACAGUCUACUUAGUGCCAUAUUUUUUGCAUUUUUGUUGGAGAUUUUAUUAUUUAAAAUGGCAUCUAAGCAUCACAGUGAAAUGUUGUGUAGUACUCUAAGGACAAAUAGAUUAUGAUGUGCCUUACAGAGAAAAUGAAUGUUUUGAAGAAGUUUCAUUGAGGUGCACAGUACACUGCCAUUGGUUGAGCUCAAUAUUAAUGAAUCAGUAAAAUAAGCAAGAUGCUUUUAAACAGAAACACAAAUAAAACACAGUUAUGUAUUUUAUAUAUUGAUGGGUUGAUGAAAAUGUAGAAUUUUGUAGUAACAUAACCUUGUAGUUCUCCCAGAAGCAAUGGUUCAGUAUUUAAUAACUCAGUGUUCACAGGUUUAUAAAUAUGACUUGUAGGACUAAUGAGAAUCAAAUGUAUACUAUACAAUGAAGUACUGUUCAGCAACAAAAACAAACUACUGAAACAUGUUAUAACAUACAUGAACCUCAGAAACAGAAUACUAAAUAUGUAGGGGGAAGAGAAAUUGAGACCCAAUGGAAUGUGCCAGUUCAUAAAUAUGGAAUAAAAUAAUAAUUUCAUUAUUGAACAAAAAUAUAUUGAACAAAAUAUUUGCUAAUAUUGAACAAAAAUAAUUGGGCAAAAUUACAAUAAUUUCAUUAUUGAACAAAAAGCAGAAUGCAUGUAGGUUUCCUACAAGUGGCUACAAAGCUAGAGGAUUUUAGCUUUAUUUAUCUGGAAUUAAAGAUACAGUCAUUAUAUAUUAUCCUAGUUUAAUAAACAAGCAGUUUUUCAAUUUGUGUCAGUAUUUAUACUGAGCUUUCUCUGACAUCUUUUCAUAAUUCUUCAGCAGGCUAACUGUGAUGUCUUGAUUUUUGUGAUUUGUCAGGUAUACUCUGUUCUUCAUGAUUCUUUACUAAUACUUUCUAUAGUUGCCUCUGGAUUGCAUUCAAUACCACAUAAUUAGUUGCAGGCUUCAGCAUUCUUCAAUAAUGUUAGAUAAGUUCAAUUUCCCACAUGUGAAAGAAGCCAGAUGCAAAAUACUACAUAGUGUAUCAUAUCAUUUAUGUGAAAUGUCCACGAAGGGCAAAUCUAUAGAGACAGAAAGCAGGUCAGUGAUUGCCUGGAACUGGGAGUAAGAAUAGGGAAGGAUUGAUUUCAAAUGGACAUGAGGAUAAUUUGGGGGUAAUGAAAAUGACCCUAUAUUGGAUUGUAAUAGUUGCACAGCUAUGUAAACUUACUAGAAAUCACUACAUUGUACACUUAAAAUUGACAUACUAUAUAUUAUACUUUGUUAACGAUGCUUUCAAAAGGAGAAACAGGAGGCUGCCACUGCUCCUAUCCUAACACCCUAGCUGAGUGACACCAUCUUCACAGGAAAAGGUUUCUAUAUGUAAAAUAUUAGAACUGAGGAGGCCGGCUGAAGGAACACUUCAUAAAGAAGUGAGCAGAACUGCAUAUGGCACAGAGACACUGAAAACCAGCAGAGAGAAAGACAGCAGACUGCCACUUACACUGCCUGCUACCUCUACCUGCCCACUCCUAUCCUGGCUCCCCAAGCCAGGUAACACCAUUCUGCCAGGAAAACUGUUCUGCAUUAGAACUGAGCAGGGCCGGCACCGUGGCUCACUAGGUUAAUCCUCCACCUGUGGUGCCGGCAUCCCAUAUGGGCGCUGGGUUCUAGUCCCAGUUGCUCCUCUUCCUGUCCAGCUCUCUGCUGUGGCCCGGGAGGGCGGCGGAAGAUGGCCCAAGUGCUUGGGCCCCUGCACCCGCAUGGGAGACCAGGAGGAGGCACCUGGCUCCUGGCUUCGGAUCAGCGUAGUUCCAGCCAUAGCGGCCAUUUGGGGGGUGAACCAAUGGAAGGAAGAUCUUUCUCUCUGUCUCUCUCUCACUGUCUAACUCUGCCUGUUUAAAAAAAAAAAAAACUGAGGAGACUGGCUGAGGGAACAUUCAAGUAAAGAAGUGGCAAAAAUUGCAAGUGGCACAGAGAUUCUGAAGGUCCACAGAGAUAGAGGAGUAAAGCAUGUGGUCUGCUGCCAUCACUGCCAGGGACACCAUCUCGCCAAGAACAAGUAAGAAGAAAGCACCAUGACCUCUGCCGCUGCCACAAAGGAACAGCCCUAACUAUGGGAGAAUUCCACAGUCCUCACUGACUUUAAAUCAAAUCUAGGGAACUGACCGAGGGCAGAGUGAAGAGUUUGCUUCAAAGAGAGAACCCACACUGCAUCCCUCUGCUCCCAAAAUGGCAGACUCAUGUUGCUGCUGAGAAGCUGCUAACCUCCACCCUGUCUUAGGAGGAAACAAGUAGCUCCUCUGCUACAAGAAGCUCUGGAAGACAGCAAGGGCACUUUCCAAGGAAGAGAGCAUGCCCCAGUGAAUCCUGCAUCCAGGGGAGCUCUGGGCACAAGCCCUGGAGCUACACUCACUAGGGACUCCUUGUGGCUCUUUAGGGCUAGUUCCCAGCAGUAGCCCAUACCAAUUACAGACCUGAGGUAACCCCUUCUUCAACUCUAACCACGGGGUGCUGGGGUCCCAAAGAACAAGCCCCAGCAUCACCCUUGCAUGUCCUAUGGAAACUAGAGGCACUCCCUUCUGUACCCUGCAGUUCUGGGACUGUUGGUGGUUUAAAACCCCUGGAAUCAGUCAUACCUCUGAGAUCUAGAAGGCCCUACCUGCAUUCAUCUGCUUCAGAUGGUGAUUGCCAAUCUUUUUCCUGAAAUAGCUGACACCCACCCUAUGACAUCUGGCUAAGAAAUCCACUGUAUUCUGCGGCCUGAGACUGUGACUAUUAGUACUAUAUUUCCCAAGAGUCAUCAGAACAUACAUUCCAAGACCUAGAGAAGACCCUACCUGCAAGACUUAGAAUAUGUCAAACAACUCUUUUGGCAUGUAGGGUUUUCUGCUGAGAAGUCUGCUGUUAUUCUAACUGGUUUUCCUAUAUAUGUAAUGAUGUUUUUCUCCUAUUGUCUGUUAGCAAACCAAAUCCAGUACUACAUCAAAAAGAUCAUACAUCACUAUCAAAUGUGAUUCAUCCUAGAGUUGCAAAGGUGGUUUAACAUUCAAGGAUCAAUCAACUUCAUAAAGCACAUCAACAGAGUGAAGAAUAAAAACCAUAUGAUCACCUCCAUAUAUGUGGAGAAAACAAUUGAUAAGAUUCAAUAUCGCUUCAUGUUAAAAAUAUUCAGAAUAAAUUUGGUAUAGAAGGAAUGUAAUUCAACAUUAUAAAGGCUAUAUAUAUAUAUGAUGAACCAACAGCCAAUAUAAUACUGAACAGGGAAAAACUGAAUGCAUUUCUCCUUAGACCUGUAACCAGACAAGGAUUUCCAGUUUCACUCAGUAUAGUAUUAGAAGUGUUAACAAUAGCAAAUAAAAAAGAGAAAUAAAAGGCAUCAAAAUUGGAAAGGAGAGGGGCUGGCUCUGCAGCAUAGUGGGUAAAGCCACUGCCUUCAGCACCGGCAUCCUAUAUGGGCAGUUGUUUGCUCUGCUACCUAUCCAGUUCUCUGGUAAUGGCCUGGGGAAAGUAGUAGAAGAUGGCCCAAAUGCUUGAGCCCCUGCACCCAUGUGGGAGACCCAGAGGAAGUUCCUGGUUCCUGAGUUGGGGGGAAAAGUCAAGCUGGAGACAUGAUAAUACUUUAUUUCAAAGCACACUACAAAGCCAUAGUAUUUAAAACAGCAUGUACUAACAUCAAGAUCAUCACAUAGAUCAAUGGAACAGAAUGGAGAGCCAAGAAAUUAAUCCACAUACUGAUUUUUGACAAAGGUGCUAGGAACACACAUUGGCAAGAGGAUAGUCUUUUCAAUAAAUGGUGCUAGCAAAACUGGAUAUAUGUAUAAAUGUAGAAGCAUGGAGGCCGGGCUGUGGUGCAGUGGGUUAACGCCCUGGCCUGAAGCACCAGCAUCCCAUAUGGGUGCCGGUUUGAGUCCUGGCUGCUCCACUUCAGAUCCAGCUCUCUGCUAUGGCCUGGGAAAGCAGUAGAAGAUGGCUGAAGUCCUUGGGCCCCUGCACCUGCGUGGGAGAUCAGGAAGAAGCUCCUGGUUCCUGGAUUCAGAUUGGUGCAACUCCAGCAAAAUGGGGAGUGAACCAUCUGAUGGAAGACCUCUCUUUCUCUCUGCCUCUCCUCUCUCUCUGUGUAACUGACUUUCAAAUAAAUAAACUUUAAAAAAAUAAAUAUAGAAGAAUGACAUUAUAUCCCUACCUCUUACCAUAUACAAAAAUGAACUCAAAAUGGGUCAAACACCUAAAUGUCAAACUGGAAACUAAAAUUGCUAGAAGAAACCAUAGGGGAAACAAUUCAAGACAGUGGUAUAGGUGACCACAUCUUGGAUAAAACCCUGAGAACAUAGCCAACGAAAGCAAAACUAGACAAAUGGGAUUAUAUCAAACUCAGAAGCUUCUGCCCAGCAGAGGAAGCAAAGUGAGGAGACUUCACUAGAUUGGAUGGAAGAAAAUAUUUUCUAUUUAGCUGACAAAGGAUUAAUAUCUAGAAUAUAUCAGAAAUAGAAAACUCAGUGACAAUAAAAUGACCAAUCCACUUGAAAUGGGCAAAGGAUCUGAAUAGACAGUUCUCAAAAGAAAAAAAUGCAAAUGGCCAACAAAUACAAGGAAAAAAGCUUAGAGUUGGCACUGUGGCAUGGUGGGUUAAGCUGCCACCUGCAGCACCAGCAUCCAAUAUGGGUGCCGAUUCAAGUCCCAGUUGCUCCACUUCCAAUCCAUCUCCCUGUUAAUGCACCUGGGAAAGCAGUGGAAGAUGGCCAAGUGCAUGGGCUCCUGAACCCACAUGGAAGACCCAAAUGAAUCUGCUGGCUUCUGGCUUUGAUCUGGCCCAGCCCUGGCCAUUGUGGCCAUUUGGGGAUGGAACCAGUGGAUGAAGACUUCCCUCUCUGUGCCUUUGCCUUUCCCUUUCUAUAGCUCUACCUUUCAAAUAAAUAAAUCUUUGUUUAAAAAAUGCUCAAUAUCACUAGUCAUCUGAGAAAUGCAAAUCAAAGCCACAAGGAGAUAUCAACUCACUUCUGCCAGAACAGCUAUUAUCAAAAAGAGUAACAUGCUGGUGAGGAUGUGGAGAAAGGGGAACUCUUACAUAGUGUGUUUGGAAAUAUAAAUUAGUGCAGUCAGUGUGGAAAGCACUGUGGAAAUAUCUUAAAAAAAUAGCCUUGGAAACUCAUGACUGGAGCAUAGGGAGAUUACUGAUGCCAUAGACAGGAGUGUCAAUUGGUAAAGUCAACAACAGGAGUCACUGUGCACUUACUCCUCAUGUAGGAUCUCUGUCCUUAAUGUGCUGUGCAUUGAGAUUUAAUGCUAUAACGAGUACUCAAACAAUAUAUUUCACUUUGUGUUUCUAUGGGGGUGCAAACUGUUGAAAUCUUUACUUAAUGCAUACUAAACUGAUCUUCUGUAAAAAAAAAAAAGAAAUUAUCAAU
Molecule: non-coding RNA, 19882 nt
Organism: Oryctolagus cuniculus (rabbit)
Lineage: Eukaryota; Metazoa; Chordata; Mammalia; Lagomorpha; Leporidae
Source: RefSeq, a predicted model, not a curated record